RNAcentral lists this ribosomal RNA (651 nucleotides) under uncultured Achromobacter sp. Its description in RNAcentral is "bacterial SSU rRNA". It matches the Rfam family "Bacterial small subunit ribosomal RNA", at positions 56 to 702 of the family's 1533-position model. Lineage: Bacteria; Pseudomonadati; Pseudomonadota; Betaproteobacteria; Burkholderiales; Alcaligenaceae. The record is from RNAcentral.
UGCAAGUCGAACGGCAGCACGGACUUCGGUCUGGUGGCGAGUGGCGAACGGGUGAGUAAUGUAUCGGAACGUGCCCAGUAGCGGGGGAUAACUACGCGAAAGCGUAGCUAAUACCGCAUACGCCCUACGGGGGAAAGCAGGGGAUCGCAAGACCUUGCACUAUUGGAGCGGCCGAUAUCGGAUUAGCUAGUUGGUGGGGUAACGGCUCACCAAGGCGACGAUCCGUAGCUGGUUUGAGAGGACGACCAGCCACACUGGGACUGAGACACGGCCCAGACUCCUACGGGAGGCAGCAGUGGGGAAUUUUGGACAAUGGGGGAAACCCUGAUCCAGCCAUCCCGCGUGUGCGAUGAAGGCCUUCGGGUUGUAAAGCACUUUUGGCAGGAAAGAAACGUCAUGGGUUAAUACCCCGUGAAACUGACGGUACCUGCAGAAUAAGCACCGGCUAACUACGUGCCAGCAGCCGCGGUAAUACGUAGGGUGCAAGCGUUAAUCGGAAUUACUGGGCGUAAAGCGUGCGCAGGCGGUUCGGAAAGAAAGAUGUGAAAUCCCAGAGCUUAACUUUGGAACUGCAUUUUUAACUACCGGGCUAGAGUGUGUCAGAGGGAGGUGGAAUUCCGCGUGUAGCAGUGAAAUGCGUAGAUAUGCGGA